ACGCGUUGGGAGCUCUCCCAUAUGGUCGACCUGCAGGCGGCCGCGAAUUCACUAGUGAUUGUAUUACCGCGGCUGCUGGCACAGAGUUAGCCGGUGCUUAUUCUGUCGGUAACGUCAAAACACUAACGUAUUAGGUUAAUGCCCUUCCUCCCAACUUAAAGAGCUUUACAACCCUAAGGCCUUCAUCACUCACGCGGCAUUGCUGGAUCAGGCUUUCGCCCAUUGUCCAAUAUUCCCUACUGCUGCCUCCCGUAGGAGUCUGGGCCGUGUCUCAGUCCCAGUGUGGCUGAUCAUCCUCUCAGACCAGCUAAGGAUCGUCGCCUUGGUAGGCCUUUACCCCACCAACUAGCUAAUCCUACGCGGGCUCAUCCCUGGGCGAUAAAUCUUUGGACUUUCGUCAUCAUCCGGUAUUAGCUUCAGUUUCCCGAAGUUAUUCCGAACCCAAGGGCAGAUUCCCACGCGUUACGCACCCGUGCGCCACUAUCCCCGAAAGGAUCGUUCGACUUGCAUGUAUUAGGCAUGCCGCCAGCGUUCGUUCUGAGCCAUGAUCAAACUCUAAUCGAAUUCCCGCGGCCGCCAUGGCGGCCGGGAGCAUGCGAC
Molecule: ribosomal RNA, 600 nt
Filed under: uncultured Alphaproteobacteria bacterium
Lineage: Bacteria; Pseudomonadati; Pseudomonadota; Alphaproteobacteria
Description: partial 16S ribosomal RNA
Source: RNAcentral